UCGAGAAUAUUCGACAAUGGGCGAAAGCCUGAUCGAGCGACGCCGCGUGCAGGAUGAAGGCCCUCGGGUUGUAAACUGCGGUAGUAGGGGAGGAACGCAAGUGACUGUACCCUACGGAAAGUGGUUGGUAACUACGUGCCAGCACCAGCGGUAAUACGUAGACCACAAGCGUUAUCCGGAUUUAUUGGGCGUAAAGAGCAUGUAGGAGGUCCGGUGCGUCUCUGGUUAAAGCCCACCGCCUAACGGUGGAAGUGCCAGAGAUACGAUCGGACUGGAGGAUGUGAGAGGUGCAUGGAACUCACGGUGUAGGGGUGAAAUCCGUUGAUAUCGUGGGGAACACCAAAGGCGAAGGCAGUGCACUGGUACAUUCCUGACUCUGAGAUGCGAAAGCGUGGGGAGCAAAAAGGAUUAGAUACCCAGUCCCUGAGCGGGCUGGCAAGGCGCAU
Molecule: ribosomal RNA, 446 nt
Filed under: uncultured bacterium
Lineage: Bacteria
Description: bacterial SSU rRNA
Rfam family: Bacterial small subunit ribosomal RNA
Source: RNAcentral